This 265-nucleotide signal recognition particle RNA is filed under the name Bacillus subtilis. RNAcentral describes it as "signal recognition particle sRNA large type". It matches the Rfam family "Bacterial large signal recognition particle RNA". Rfam says of the family: The signal recognition particle (SRP) is a universally conserved ribonucleoprotein involved in the co-translational targeting of proteins to membranes. Archaeal SRP consists of a 7S RNA and homologues of the eukaryotic SRP19 and SRP54 proteins. RNAcentral also lists the same sequence under 7 other names. The record is from RNAcentral. Lineage: Bacteria; Bacillati; Bacillota; Bacilli; Caryophanales; Bacillaceae.
CCGUGCUAAGCGGGGAGGUAGCGGUGCCCUGUACCUGCAAUCCGCUCUAGCGGGGCCGAAUCCCUUCUCGAGGUUCGUUUACUUUAAGGUCUGCCUUAAGCAAGUGGUGUUGACGUUUGGGUCCUGCGCAAUGGGAAUUCAUGAACCAUGUCAGGUCCGGAAGGAAGCAGCAUUAAGUGAAACCUCUCAUGUGCCGCAGGGUUGCCUGGGCUGAGCUAACUGCUUAAGUAACGCUUAGGGUAGCGAAUCGACAGAAGGUGCACGG